UACAGAGGUCUCGAGCGUUGUUCGGAUUCAUUGGGCGUAAAGGGCGCGUAGGCGGCGGGGUAAGUCUGGUGUGAAAUCUCGGAGCUCAACUCCGAAAUUGCACUGGAUACUGCUCUGCUAGAGGGCUGGAGAGGAGAUCGGAAUUCACGGUGUAGCAGUGAAAUGCGUAGAUAUCGUGAGGAAGACCAGUGGCGAAGGCGGGUCUCUGGACAGUUCCUGACGCUGAGGCACGAAGGUCAGGGGAGCAAACGGG
Molecule: ribosomal RNA, 253 nt
Filed under: uncultured bacterium
Lineage: Bacteria
Description: partial 16S ribosomal RNA
Rfam family: Bacterial small subunit ribosomal RNA
Source: RNAcentral